CCAGGGAUAGGAAGUGCAGCCGAAAUCAACGACUGAGGCCCCUUCUCUAGCUUCUAGGCUGUAAUCUGUAUGUCCUCCAUGGCUUCGCCUGCUGUGCCACCAGCUGCAAAGUCGAUUUCUGGCCCAGCCCUCUCUGGAGCUCUCAUAGAGUUUAUCCAAAUGCCCCUGGCUGUCGCCUCUCAGGAAUCCCACAGGUUCUGCAACGAGUUCAGAUGUGAACUCAGCUUUCCAACAAAACCUGCGCCUCCCUUCAUGUUCUGGAUCCUUGAGAGCAACAAGGUCAUCAAUCCCUCAGGCUGGAAACCAGAUGGUCCAUGGAGACACCUCCUUGGAGCCCUGCCUGGGCAACCUUGACCUCCCAGGUUCCAGGGGACACUGGAGCCCUGCAGGGUCUGAGCACCUCCCUCAUGCAGGCUCCCAAGUUCACCAUGCUGAGAAAGACCUGCGGGAGACAGCAGGAGGACAGCUGGGGAAUGGGCCCGCACGUGCCCAGAGGCCCUGAUGGUGUCGUCUUGGGAGUGGAGGAACCUGAGGGAAAAUCGCAGGGGUGAGUCGGGGAGAGCUCUGCCCUGGUGCCCUGGCACGUAUCCACAUGGGCCGCAGCUGCACCCGGCUCUCAGCAGAGGGCAUCGCCAUGCUUCUGGGCACAGCCGGGCCGUCUCGCCUCCCUGCGGCUCCUGAUGCCUCCCAGGCUCCGCUGAGGUCACCUUGGGCACUUAGCGUGGCUGCAGCUCUUUGCAGCCCUGUGUCCUGUCAUCCAUGUGGCCGUCAUGUGGUCACUUUUGGGCAUUGCGCUGUGCAAGGUCCAUGGGGACUGGGCACCUUUGGCCAUUCUUUCUUUGGUUGUCUGUGCAAGUAAUAAACUAAAUCUGAAAAGGU
Molecule: long non-coding RNA, 879 nt
Filed under: Pongo abelii (Sumatran orangutan)
Lineage: Eukaryota; Metazoa; Chordata; Mammalia; Primates; Hominidae
Description: lincRNA
Source: RNAcentral